Molecule: long non-coding RNA, 3582 nt
Organism: Mesocricetus auratus (golden hamster)
Lineage: Eukaryota; Metazoa; Chordata; Mammalia; Rodentia; Cricetidae
Exons: 3
Source: RefSeq, a predicted model, not a curated record
CAGCAUCCUUAUAUCCCUACUACUGCCUCUCUUUAUUUUGAACCUGCUGCUACUUAUUUCCAGUACUAUCCCUACACAUCCACUUCUGCUAUCGCUACCUCGUAUGUUUUGUGCCUACCUAUUUGCUUUUCACUCUGUUAGUAAAUUUUAUCUUCAUUUCUGUUCAUGACCACUGACUUUCUUUGCAGAUUCCACUCUCAACUGACAGAAGACAGAAUUUAGUUACAGGUUGGUGGUGAUGGGCUGGUCAGUGUGAAGUGUUUAACUUCCCCAGAAAGCCCUGCUGACACAGAGAAGUCUCCAGUUGGUAACAAACCUUCUAGCAAGUACCAUUUGUUUGACUCUUAUUUUUACAAAUGUCCUUGGCAUUCUAAUAAACUAAGGGGGGAUGAAAUAAUCUGAGUAUAAAUAGACACAAUCCAGGAAGUGGUUGAUGUCACAAGAGAGGCAUAGAGAAUAUGAAAUUGGAUUUCAGAGGCAGGAAAUGGCACAAAUAACAUGGAUUGAAUUGAGUCUACAAGGAAGACAGGAUUUGGAGAUGUAGAAAUAGGGAAGCUGUCCAAGAAACAAAGAACAUCAGUGUGAAAGGAAGUUUAGACUGGAAGAAUUAAGGAAUAACUGCGGAGUAAGAGAAUUUUUCAUUUUAUUAGAGCAGAAGGGGUGUGAACAGGGAGAAAGAGUGGUCAAGGGAAGCAGGAUGUCAAAAUAAAAUGGUAGAUAUAAUCCUGUCCUCUUUCUUGGUGAAAAUGUAAGUAAAACAUUCAUGAUAUGCUGGUAUCUGUAUCAGUACAUGGAUCUGUUGGAAGAGAAUAUCGAAAAGUCAUUGGAAUAAGAUUUUGUCAAUUGAAUGGGUUCUUGACUUUCUCCCUUCUUACGAACAGAUUAUGAUACUAUUAGUAUUGAUUUUGCAUUGAAUAAUGUCAACAUGAUGAAACAGAUCAUUGAUAAGAAUAAGGCUGGAAUGACUCUGAAUGAAUUUCGCAUUUCCUUAAGGAAUGACCUGGGGCAAGUCAUUUUCUUUGUCACCCUUGGUCCAGUCCUCACAUCUGUAAUCUUGCAGGGUGGUUAGUUAUUUGAUGGCUGCUUUCCCGGUCUUUCUGAGUCUAUAAUCACACCCACUUGACCUCUUCAGCUUCGUUUCAAAUGAAAUCAUUCAUUAUUUGAGGACUGACAAAGAGAAAGGCACUCUAUGCUGUUGGCGUGCAUAAUCUUCUUUAUGAAAAAAGCCUCAGCUGGAAGCACUGCUUAGACUCAUGUGUUAUGGGGGAUGAGAAUUCUGGUUAAUUGAAUUUUCUUGUUAGAAUGAAGAUUAAUUAGCAUAUGACCUAUUUAAACCCUUGCUGUUAGCAACAUAUGUCAGGUAUGUAGAACAUUUUCCAUGUGAGAAAUCUAAGUCUCAUAAUAGGAAAAUAAGAUUUAAGUACCAAAUGUGUGUAAACCUCUGUAAUAUUGUCAUUAAGCACUGUGAUGCUAAUAACAGUUGUCACUUAUUGAAUAUUUAUUGUCAGUCAGAUACUUUCCUGAAAGUUUUACAUGUAUCAUCCUACUUAAGAUUAGCAAAACCCAUAAAAGCUAAGCAGGCUAUUGAGACCUAUAGUGUGUGAGCUAACCCUCCAGAAAAGAGAUUGAUUCCCAAUCCUCAGAACCUGGGAAUAUGUGUUUACUUGGAUAAAGAGUCUUUGCAAAUGUAAUAAGUUAAAGAUGCUGAGAUGAGUAAAUUACCCAGAUUAUUGCAGUGGCCCCAAUAUCUGAUGAAAAUUAUCAUUUUACAAGACACAAGGAGGAGGCUGUUUUAUAAUCACAAUGGAGAGUGGAGUAAUUCAGCCACAGAGAAAGAAUUCCCAGAGCCACUGGAAGCUGGGAGCAAUGUGACACAUGGGCUGCUACAGCGUUUACAGGUGUUAGGACCCUCCUAUCACAUCAGUAUAAGACUAUGGCUUCCAGAAUUUUGACAGUAUAUAUUUUUGCUGUUUUAAAUUAACUAGUUUGUUACAUCCCCAGAAACAACUAAUGCAUAUCCCUUUUACAUAUGUAAGAAUAAGGUAUAGGGGAAUCCAUUAACUUACCUCUGUCAGAAUGCACAAAAAAAUUUGUAAGAGAGGUAACCUUAGAAUUUACUUUUAAUCUCAGUAAAAUACUACCCCCUGUAGUAUUCUGUCUCUGCCCACAUAAAAAUACGCAAAGGUGGGGCAUGAAGCCUAAAUUAUGGGUAAGAAUCAGUGAUAGUGUUCUAGAAGAGUUAGUGAUACUGUUUUGAGUUUUAAUGAUAGAAGUAUGUGUCUAGAGAAUAAAGUGAUGAAAACUUUCUACGGAGAACAAGCUAUUAUAGGGGCAGGGAAUAAAACAAGGAGUCUUUAGAGAAAUGAAGUAGGUAGGCAAGAAUCUGGAGAUUUCUGGGACUGAGAAGAAAGAGUGGACUCCUUAGACAUUUGAAGAGGUUAAAGUAUGUGGCAUAGUUUGGUUCCAAGACCAUAUAGAUCUCUUAAAGAUUUGCUCUGGAAGAUCCCUGGGAGGCUAGGUUGGAGUGUAUGAAGACCAGAGGCAGAUUCUCUAGAGCUAUAACUGUGAUAUACACUUCAGUAUCAGCCAUUACAAUGCACAGAAGGCAGAUUUGAGAGAUGCUUUCGGGAAGCAACCUGAGUAAUGUUCAGGGACUAGCAAAUGUCCAGGGCAAAGGGAAGGAGAGACAUGGCUGCCUUGUAGACUUCUGGUGAAAGUAAUGUCGUGGGGUAUGGUUGGUGAUGGUAUGUAUAAAUAAACAUAUCACUAAUGACUGAUAAUUUUGUAUGAUUUUUGUUCUGAAUAUUCAAACAUUUACAUGUUAAUUAUGAAUUAUACAUUCAAGCCUAUAAGGCACUGAACUGCAUAACAUGCACUGUGAGAGACAGAAGAGGACACCUAAUCCACCUCUGUACUGCAGUCUGAGUAUCUAUUCACAUUUCCUAAGAGGGGCAGCCAUGUUAAGAUAAUUUGAUAACUGAAUGUCUCAAGGUCAAUGUCUUACAACCCCUGACCUCAGAUUCUAGCUUUCUUCUUGCUGUUUCCUGGACAGACAGAAUGCUGUCUUUUUUGUAUCUGACCUUCUCCAUUUAUUAGCCAUCUGACCUUUGGAAAUUUGCUUAACCACCCUGUACCUUAAUUUCAGCAGCUGUCAAAAGGAGAUGAAAAUUACAAUGCCUGCUCUCAUUAACUCAGACAAGAACCUAUUUAAAUCAACCACUCAGGCCACCCUCAUCUUAGGUGGCCUGAUUUUCUUCAGAGAAAUCAUCCUAAAGGCGCAAGGCUCUGACCAUAGCAACACCCCAUUUAAACCAGCAAGGUAGAGUGGGAAGGCAGAGCUGAGUCAAGCCUGAAACCAACUGUGUACAUGCUGGAGGCUCCUUUAUGAAAAACAGACCUUGUCCAAAAGGUAUGGUCAGAAAUAUUUUGGCAAAGUCAAAACCAACUGGUAAAUAUUUCAGUAGAUGUGUUAAUAGGACACACAAAGAGGAAGGUCCCGGAACUGAACUGAGGUGAUGAUAAAACAACUAUCAAAAACAAAUGAGAACUUCCUGGGACUGUCAUUGCCCCAGGACAGCUAUG